Oncorhynchus kisutch (coho salmon) is the source of this 3379-nucleotide long non-coding RNA. RefSeq lists it as uncharacterized. The transcript is spliced from 2 exons. NCBI's taxonomy places the organism in Eukaryota, Metazoa, Chordata, Actinopteri, Salmoniformes, Salmonidae. The record is from RefSeq and is a predicted model, not a curated record.
ACACACAAAGCCACUUCCCCCUGCCACUCACGAGAGAUCAUGUCUUCCUCUCUGACAAGCGGUUUCAACUCGAUAUUUGUAUUUGAGGUCUGGUCCAACAGAAUUGGUCAUAUGGACACCGAAACCCAUUGUGUGGAGAAGGAAACCUUUCUAUAAAUACUCUUUUUAUAUCUCAACUCCUCAAAUUGCGCAGAGCAGACACUACUAAAACGGGAGUAUCAAUGAACAUUGAUUCUGCUCGGUGGCGAGUCAGCGAAAAGGCAGAAGCUGCAGCUCCCCACAGUACAGUCCACCUGCCAGGAAGAGAUCCUUUUCUGUUCUCUCCUCCAGCCAGACCUGGCCCAGAGAGAUGCCGGAAGACUGGGAGAGAAGCAAAGACAUGCUGUUGUUGGAUUCUCUAUCAUGUACUGCACAGAGCAGAGGGCAAGGGACAGUAGGCCCUUUAUCUAUGGGAUAUACCAACGUAGAGCUAGGAAAGACAUUAUAUAGAAUCACGAGAUGCUGUCUCAUGUUAUACUGCACCAGUGCUUCAUGGAUGGAUCUACGUAACAAAUACUGUAGAUGAAAGUAACAAACAAAUAAGACAUUUGGUGGAAUAAGCUAGCUAAUAUGCAAGCACUGUAGGUUAUUCCACUACAGGUAGUGUUGGCUCUGUAGCAGUGACCAAGGCUGUGGGAGAGAGCAGAGGGAAGUGUGUGGGAUAACCCAGCAGCCAGGCAGGCACACUCCUCACCCCCUAAUCCAACUGGCCGUUUCUCAAUUUCACACAUCACUCUUUGACACUUUUACAUUAGAAACACAGCCCUCUCGUGAUUAAAAUAUUUUUCUCCAUUCUCUCGCUCCCUCUCUCACUCUAUGGCGAGGGAGGUAAUGAGAGAUGGGUGUCCAUUUCCCAGUCUCUUUUCUUUCCUCACCAAAUCAACCGCAAAUAACCCACAGGCCUUUGAACCCCAUCUUGAUUUUGCUCUUUAGAUAAGGACAAUACUUAUUGUGUUCAUUGUGCUUGAGAGCGACGGCGGGGAGUACAAAGUCACUCCAAGAUAUAGACAAAUACAGCACAAAAUAGACAGGUUCAUCUGCCUGAACUCAAAGGACAAUUUCAAGUGAACUCAUGGAGAUGAGCAAAUAUGGUGAUACUGCAGCACCGGCUCGGGACCUCUCAUCAAAUGGAGGGAAAAAAACGAAUGUUGUAACUUUAUUCAAAAUCCCCUCAUACUGGUUCAGUAUGUGUGCAUGUUAAAUAUGUGUUGAAGUUCCUAUGUAUACCAUAACCCUGGUUUGAAAGGUUAAAGCAGGAAAUGGACUAAACAAACAUAGCUGGUGGAGCUCACAUAGACCCUCCCCUGACGCAAUAGAACCCCGCAAUGAAUUCCCAACAUGCAUCAGUGUGCUGUAGCCCCGGUGAUGCCCUCGGUUGUGAUUGUGCAGGGGGAGGCUGAGGAGUACAGAGUAUUUACUGAUGCGGUUAUCUUGUCCUGUGACAGGCAGAAUCAAUCAAUCACCACACCGUGGCUCGGCUCCGCCGCGCAUUCCAGGCACAGCCCCUCGCUUCUGGGGGAGGAGAUGGCAGUGUUAGCCAAGCCAAAUUUGAUCAACCAAUGCAGUUCCCCUGUGCCACAGCUAUCUGGGAUGAAGAUGCUAUUAUCUGGACGUGAGCAAAGUGAUGAAGACAGCAGAGAGAGAGAGAGAAGUCCAGGUGGAUCUUAGCUUCCUCUUAAAGGCACAGCGCCUCUGUUCUGGGAGCAAGGGGAAUACAUGACACUGUGACACCGCUGUUGCCUCUCUUGUACAGAUCAAGGCGCCAAGCAUUUCUACGCUGAAGACAAGUUUGAAUGAAUUAUCAGAACGUGUAUUUAAAAAAAUCUAACUUGUCCGUCUACCACAAUUACAUACCAAUUAAAGACACAAUCCUGGGAGGUACUCCUCAAACUGACAUUUCACAUCAAUCAAUCAAAUGUAUUUUAUAAAGCCCUUUUUACAUCAGCGGUUGUCUCAAAGUGCUUAUACAGAAACCCAGCCUAAAACCCCAAAGAGCAAGCAAUGCAGAUGUAGAUGUAAUUCCUUAAACAGAUUUAAUGACAUGCAUGAACGUUUUUAUGGAGGUUACUACAUUUGCAUUUAGCAAUGAGGAAAAAUGAGUAUAGUGUUUAGACUGCAGAUAAGGGCUGGUAAUUCAGAACUCUAUAUUUAUGCUUCAUAUUUAUCCAAUUCAAAAUACCAUGUUUCUGAUUCUAACUUUCUUUCGCAUGUUAAUGUUUAAUAAGGGACCUUGGUUAUCCAUGGGCACAAUUAUUAAAUAUCCGCAGAGAUAUUUGUUUUUUUUAUAAAUCAUACUCUCAAUUUUUUACUUAUCUGAUAUAUACAUGGGUUGGUCGUUUAACAACCAAACUGUUGUGUGCGCAACCAUAGGGCAAAACAUAUGGGGUUGGCUUAGAUUGUUGAAACAUGUAAACUAUACUUUGUCUCCAAUGUUCAUUGAAAACAUAAAUGCAUUUCCACAAUGAGCACUUGUUAUCUCUCAAAUACAUCAUUACAGUUAUUAGUUAGCUAGCUAGCUAGCGGAUUUUUGCCAUUUCAGUAUAGACGUGACAUCAGUCCAAAAAAAUCUAAACAAGACAUGGUAUCAAGAACGAAAUAAAACUAGCUGAAACAAGCCACGUACGAUUCCCCAAAUGGCAGCUUCUUGUUAUUUUUGCCAGCCAUCGCGCCAUCAGAAUCACAAAAACACAUGGACUUCUGCCCCAUUGAAGCGUGCGCAAAGUUUUCGUCAAGUUGUCAGCUAACCUGUCUAUAGGAAAUGGCUUUAAGACCUGUGCCUUUUAGCCAGUCAUAUCCUCAAUAACAGACAUAAUCCAAUGGUUGCCAGGGAAUGUUGCUUAUGGAGAAACGACAAUUGCAUCAAUAUAGUAAUUAACAGAUUGUUUAUAACGUUGGCAUGUAUCAUGAUAUGCCAUAAUGUCACAACACGGAUUAGCCUGUUACAAGCGGCAAUGAUUACACAAAUGUUUAUCUGAGGCCCGACAAAAAGAAAAUUGACUGCUUGCAUAAUUAUGAAGAAUAUUACACAAGUGGAGUAGUGGGGAUUGUUAUAUGGGAGGAAGUUGUGUCGAUAAGUGCAGACAUUAGGGAAAUGACUCUGCCUCUCUCUCUCACACCACACACACACACACACACACACAUUAACACACUUCCAGAAGUAUCAGCCACAGCAAUGUGUUUGCAUAUGAACACUGGCAACACCUGCACACACACACACACACAAUUGCAUAAAACAAGAUAGCUUAUGCAUUGUAAAUGUCCACACAACUACAUUAUACAGACAAAGGGCCUUUAGGUUUUAUAUGCCAGUUUAACGUUUAUGUGAAAUUCUAAUCAUGAU